CAGCCGCCACGGGAAUACGUAGGGUGCAAGCGUUAAUCGGAAUUACUGGGCGUAAAGCGUGCGCAGGCGGUUAUGUAAGACAGUUGUGAAAUCCCCGGGCUCAACCUGGGAACUGCAUCUGUGACUGCAUAGCUAGAGUACGGUAGAGGGGGAUGGAAUUCCGCGUGUAGCAGUGAAAUGCGUAGAUAUGCGGAGGAACACCGAUGGCGAAGGCAAUCCCCUGGACCUGUACUGACGCUCAUGCACGAAAGCGUGUGGAGCAAACAGGAUUAGAUACCCCCGUAGUCCCUGUCUCUUAUAC
RNAcentral lists this ribosomal RNA (301 nucleotides) under uncultured bacterium. Its description in RNAcentral is "partial 16S ribosomal RNA". It matches the Rfam family "Bacterial small subunit ribosomal RNA", at positions 509 to 807 of the family's 1533-position model. The record is from RNAcentral.